RNAcentral lists this small RNA (286 nucleotides) under Pan troglodytes (chimpanzee). RNAcentral's name for it is "processed transcript". The record is from RNAcentral. Lineage: Eukaryota; Metazoa; Chordata; Mammalia; Primates; Hominidae.
GAUUCAGCAGUUUCCUGACUAGAGAUAGAGCCAGAGCAGAAGAUGGGCAGAGUCUGCAUGUGGCUGCAGGACCUCUGUCAGAGAAUGAAACACUCAUCUCAUGAUAGGGCCAGAUUUGAGUGUGUGAAUUUUUGAGUGAAACCUGGAACCCAAAUGAGAAGAAAUCUGCAAGGAAUAACUACUGACAGUGAAUCUGCGGUCAUCUGUAUGCAUAAUAUGGAAUGUUCUUAACCCAGAAGUAGCUGAAUGUGUUACUCCAUUGCUGAGGAGUGACUAUCUGUUAUAA